GGCCCUUUAUUUGACGGUAAUCAACCCAGAAAAGUCACGGCUAACUACGUGCCCAGCAGCCGCGGUAAUACGUAGGUGGCAAGCGUUGUCCGGAUUUAUUGGGCGUAAAGCGAGCGCAGGCGGAAGAAUAAGUCUGAUGUGAAAGCCCUCGGCUUAACCGAGGAACUGCAUCGGAAACUGUUUUUCUUGAGUGCAGAAGAGGAGAGUGGAACCUCAUGUGUAGCGGUGGAAUGCGUAGAUAUAUGGAAGAACACCAGUGGCGAAGGCGACUCUCUGGUCUGCAACUGACGCUGAGGCUCGAAAGCAUGGGUAGCGAACAGGAUUAGAUACCCUGGUAGUCCAUGCCGUAAACGAUGAGUGCUAAGUGUUGGGAGGUUUCCGCCUCUCAGUGCUGCAGCUAACGCAUUAAGCACUCCGCCUGGGGAGUACGACCGCAAGGUUGAAACUCAAAGGAAUUGACGGGGGCCCGCACAAGCGGUGGAGCAUGUGGUUUAAUUCGAAGCAACGCGAAGAACCUUACCAGGUCUUGACAUCUAGUGCCAUCCUAAGAGAUUAGGAGUUCCCUUCGGGGACGCUAAGACAGGUGGUGCAUGGCUGUCGUCAGCUCGUGUCGUGAGAUGUUGGGUUAAGUCCCGCAACGAGCGCAACCCUUGUUAUUAGUUGCCAGCAUUAAGUUGGGCACUCUAAUGAGACUGCCGGUGAUAAACCGGAGGAAGGUGGGGAUGACGUCAAGUCAUCAUGCCCCUUAUGACCUGGGCUACACACGUGCUACAAUGGACAGUACAACGAGAAGCGAGCCUGCGAAGGCAAGCGAAUCUCUGAAAGCUGUUCUCAGUUCGGACUGCAGUCUGCAACUCGACUGCACGAAGCUGGAAUCGCUAGUAAUCGCGGAUCAGAACGCCGCGGUGAAUACGUUCCCGGGCCUUGUACACACCGCCCGUCACACCAUGGAAGUCUGCAAUGCCCAAAGCCGGUGGCCUAACCUUCGGGAAGGAGCCGUCUAAGGCAGGGCAGAUGACUGGGGUGAAGUCGAACCAA
This 1038-nucleotide ribosomal RNA is filed under the name Lactobacillus helveticus. RNAcentral's name for it is "bacterial SSU rRNA". It matches the Rfam family "Bacterial small subunit ribosomal RNA", at positions 459 to 1494 of the family's 1533-position model. The record is from RNAcentral. Lineage: Bacteria; Bacillati; Bacillota; Bacilli; Lactobacillales; Lactobacillaceae.